UUAAGUUAUUAAGGGCGCACGGUGGAUGCCUUGGCACUAGAAGCCGAUGAAGGACGUUACUAACGACGAUAUGCUUUGGGGAGCUGUAAGUAAGCUUUGAUCCAGAGAUUUCCGAAUGGGGAAACCCAGCAUGAGUUAUGUCAUGUUAUCGAUAUGUGAAUACAUAGCAUAUCAGAAGGCACACCCGGAGAACUGAAACAUCUUAGUACCCGGAGGAAGAGAAAGAAAAUUCGAUUCCCUUAGUAGCGGCGAGCGAAACGGGAAGAGCCCAAACCAACAAGCUUGCUUGUUGGGGUUGUAGGACACUCUAUACGGAGUUACAAAGGACGACAUUAGACGAAUCAUCUGGAAAGAUGAAUCAAAGAAGGUAAUAAUCCUGUAGUCGAAAAUGUUGUCUCUCUUGAGUGGAUCCUGAGUACGACGGAGCACGUGAAAUUCCGUCGGAAUCUGGGAGGACCAUCUCCUAAGGCUAAAUACUCUCUAGUGACCGAUAGUGAACCAGUACCGUGAGGGAAAGGUGAAAAGCACCCCGGAAGGGGAGUGAAAUAGAACCUGAAACCGUGUGCUUACAAGUAGUCAGAGCCCGUUAAUGGGUGAUGGCGUGCCUUUUGUAGAAUGAACCGGCGAGUUACGAUUUGAUGCAAGGUUAAGCAGUAAAUGUGGAGCCGUAGCGAAAGCGAGUCUGAAUAGGGCGUUUAGUAUUUGGUCGUAGACCCGAAACCAGGUGAUCUACCCUUGGUCAGGUUGAAGUUCAGGUAACACUGAAUGGAGGACCGAACCGACUUACGUUGAAAAGUGAGCGGAUGAACUGAGGGUAGCGGAGAAAUUCCAAUCGAACCUGGAGAUAGCUGGUUCUCUCCGAAAUAGCUUUAGGGCUAGCCUCAAGUGAUGAUUAUUGGAGGUAGAGCACUGUUUGGACGAGGGGCCCCUCUCGGGUUACCGAAUUCAGACAAACUCCGAAUGCCAAUUAAUUUAACUUGGGAGUCAGAACAUGGGUGAUAAGGUCCGUGUUCGAAAGGGAAACAGCCCAGACCACCAGCUAAGGUCCCAAAAUAUAUGUUAAGUGGAAAAGGAUGUGGCGUUGCCCAGACAACUAGGAUGUUGGCUUAGAAGCAGCCAUCAUUUAAAGAGUGCGUAAUAGCUCACUAGUCGAGUGACACUGCGCCGAAAAUGUACCGGGGCUAAACAUAUUACCGAAGCUGUGGAUUGUCCUUUGGACAAUGGUAGGAGAGCGUUCUAAGGGCGUUGAAGCAUGAUCGUAAGGACAUGUGGAGCGCUUAGAAGUGAGAAUGCCGGUGUGAGUAGCGAAAGACGGGUGAGAAUCCCGUCCACCGAUUGACUAAGGUUUCCAGAGGAAGGCUCGUCCGCUCUGGGUUAGUCGGGUCCUAAGCUGAGGCCGACAGGCGUAGGCGAUGGAUAACAGGUUGAUAUUCCUGUACCACCUAUAAUCGUUUUAAUCGAUGGGGGGACGCAGUAGGAUAGGCGAAGCGUGCGAUUGGAUUGCACGUCUAAGCAGUAAGGCUGAGUAUUAGGCAAAUCCGGUACUCGUUAAGGCUGAGCUGUGAUGGGGAGAAGACAUUGUGUCUUCGAGUCGUUGAUUUCACACUGCCGAGAAAAGCCUCUAGAUAGAAAAUAGGUGCCCGUACCGCAAACCGACACAGGUAGUCAAGAUGAGAAUUCUAAGGUGAGCGAGCGAACUCUCGUUAAGGAACUCGGCAAAAUGACCCCGUAACUUCGGGAGAAGGGGUGCUCUUUAGGGUUAACGCCCAGAAGAGCCGCAGUGAAUAGGCCCAAGCGACUGUUUAUCAAAAACACAGGUCUCUGCUAAACCGUAAGGUGAUGUAUAGGGGCUGACGCCUGCCCGGUGCUGGAAGGUUAAGAGGAGUGGUUAGCUUCUGCGAAGCUACGAAUCGAAGCCCCAGUAAACGGCGGCCGUAACUAUAACGGUCCUAAGGUAGCGAAAUUCCUUGUCGGGUAAGUUCCGACCCGCACGAAAGGCGUAACGAUUUGGGCACUGUCUCAACGAGAGACUCGGUGAAAUCAUAGUACCUGUGAAGAUGCAGGUUACCCGCGACAGGACGGAAAGACCCCGUGGAGCUUUACUGUAGCCUGAUAUUGAAAUUCGGCACAGCUUGUACAGGAUAGGUAGGAGCCUUUGAAACGUGAGCGCUAGCUUACGUGGAGGCGCUGGUGGGAUACUACCCUAGCUGUGUUGGCUUUCUAACCCGCACCACUUAUCGUGGUGGGAGACAGUGUCAGGCGGGCAGUUUGACUGGGGCGGUCGCCUCCUAAAAGGUAACGGAGGCGCUCAAAGGUUCCCUCAGAAUGGUUGGAAAUCAUUCAUAGAGUGUAAAGGCAUAAGGGAGCUUGACUGCGAGACCUACAAGUCGAGCAGGGUCGAAAGACGGACUUAGUGAUCCGGUGGUUCCGCAUGGAAGGGCCAUCGCUCAACGGAUAAAAGCUACCCCGGGGAUAACAGGCUUAUCUCCCCCAAGAGUUCACAUCGACGGGGAGGUUUGGCACCUCGAUGUCGGCUCAUCGCAUCCUGGGGCUGUAGUCGGUCCCAAGGGUUGGGCUGUUCGCCCAUUAAAGCGGUACGCGAGCUGGGUUCAGAACGUCGUGAGACAGUUCGGUCCCUAUCCGUCGUGGGCGUAGGAAAUUUGAGAGGAGCUGUCCUUAGUACGAGAGGACCGGGAUGGACAUACCUCUGGUGUACCAGUUGUCGUGCCAACGGCAUAGCUGGGUAGCUAUGUGUGGACGGGAUAAGUGCUGAAAGCAUCUAAGCAUGAAGCCCCCCUCAAGAUGAGAUUUCCCAACUUCGGUUAUAAGAUCCCUCAAAGAUGAUGAGGUUAAUAGGUUCGAGGUGGAAG
RNAcentral lists this ribosomal RNA (2870 nucleotides) under Staphylococcus aureus H27739. Its description in RNAcentral is "bacterial LSU rRNA". It matches the Rfam family "Bacterial large subunit ribosomal RNA". The record is from RNAcentral. Lineage: Bacteria; Bacillati; Bacillota; Bacilli; Caryophanales; Staphylococcaceae.